This 429-nucleotide ribosomal RNA is filed under the name bacterium. RNAcentral's name for it is "partial 16S ribosomal RNA". It matches the Rfam family "Bacterial small subunit ribosomal RNA", at positions 355 to 776 of the family's 1533-position model. The record is from RNAcentral.
UGGGGAAUUUUGGACAAUGGGGGCAACCCUGAUCCAGCAAUGCCGCGUGUGUGAAGAAGGCCUUCGGGUUGUAAAUCACUUUUGUCCGGGAAGAAAUCGCACCUGAUAAUACCGGGUGUGGAUGACGGUACCGGAAGAAUAAGGACCGGCUAACUACGUGCCAGCAGCCGCGGUAAUACGUAGGGUCCAAGCGUUAAUCGGAAUUACUGGGCGUAAAGCGUGCGCAGGCGGUUGUGCAAGACCGAUGUGAAAUCCCCGGGCUUAACCUGGGAAUUGCAUUGGUGACUGCACGGCUAGAGUGUGUCAGAGGGGGGUAGAAUUCCACGUGUAGCAGUGAAAUGCGUAGAGAUGUGGAGGAAUACCGAUGGCGAAGGCAGCCCCCUGGGAUAACACUGACGCUCAUGCACGAAAGCGUGGGGAGCAAACAGG